RNAcentral lists this ribosomal RNA (161 nucleotides) under uncultured bacterium. Its description in RNAcentral is "partial 16S ribosomal RNA". It matches the Rfam family "Bacterial small subunit ribosomal RNA", at positions 1340 to 1500 of the family's 1533-position model. The record is from RNAcentral.
AAUCGCGGAUCAGCAUGCCGCGGUGAAUACGUUCCCUGGCCUUGUACACACCGCCCGUCACACCAUGGGAGCCGGUAAUACCCGAAGUCAGUAGCCUAACCGCAAGGGGGGCGCUGCCGAAGGUAGGAUUGGCGACUGGGGUGAAGUCGUAACAAGGUAGC